CCUACGGGAGGCAGCAGUAGGGAAUCUUCCACAAUGGGCGAAAGCCUGAUGGAGCAACGCCGCGUGGGUGAAGAAGGUCUUCGGAUCGUAAAACCCUGUUGUUAGAGAAGAAAGUGCGUGAGAGUAACUGUUCACGUUUCGACGGUAUCUAACCAGAAAGCCACGGCUAACUACGUGCCAGCAGCCGCGGUAAUACGUAGGUGGCAAGCGUUAUCCGGAUUGAUUGGGCGUAAAGGUAACGCAGGCGGUCUUUUAAGUCUGAUGUGAAAGCCUUCGGCUUAACCGGAGUAGUGCAUUGGAAACUGGGAGACUUGAGUGCAGAAGAGGAGAGUGGAACGCCAUGUGUAGCGGUGAAAUGCGUAGAUAUAUGGAAGAACACCAGUGGCGAAAGCGGCUCUCUGGUCUGUAACUGACGCUGAGGUUCGAAAGCGUGGGUAGCAAACAGGAUUAGAUACCCCAGUAGUC
Molecule: ribosomal RNA, 465 nt
Filed under: uncultured bacterium
Lineage: Bacteria
Description: partial 16S ribosomal RNA
Rfam family: Bacterial small subunit ribosomal RNA
Source: RNAcentral